CGUAUCCAACCUGCCGUCUACUCUUGGACAGCCUUCUGAAAGGAAGAUUAAUACAAGAUGGCAUCAUGAGUCCGCAUGUUCACAUGAUUAAAGGUAUUCCGGUAGACGUUGGGGAUGCGUUCCAUUAGAUAGUAGGCGGGGUAACGGCCCACCUAGUCUUCGAUGGAUAGGGGUUCUGAGAGGAAGGUCCCCCACAUUGGAACUGAGACACGGUCCAAACUCCUACGGGAGGCAGCAGUGAGGAAUAUUGGUCAAUGGGCGAGAGCCUGAACCAGCCAAGUAGCGUGAAGGAUGACUGCCCUAUGGGUUGUAAACUUCUUUUAUAAAGGAAUAAAGUCGGGUAUGCAUACCCGUUUGCAUGUACUUUAUGAAUAAGGAUCGGCUAACUCCGUGCCAGCAGCCGCGGUAAUACGGAGGAUCCGAGCGUUAUCCGGAUUUAUUGGGUUUAAAGGGAGCGUAGAUGGAUGUUUAAGUCAGUUGUGAAAGUUUGCGGCUCAACCGUAAAAUUGCAGUUGAUACUGGAUACCUUGAGUGCAGUUGAGGCAGGCGGAAUUCGUGGUGUAGCGGUGAAAUGCUUAGAUAUCACGAAGAACUCCGAUUGCGAAGGCAGCCUGCUAAGCUGCAACUGACAUUGAGGC
Molecule: ribosomal RNA, 638 nt
Filed under: uncultured bacterium
Lineage: Bacteria
Description: bacterial SSU rRNA
Rfam family: Bacterial small subunit ribosomal RNA
Source: RNAcentral